CAAAAGGCUUUCUUCAAAGCCAAUGCUUUGACUAUGAUGAGGUGUUU
This is a non-coding RNA of Lupinus angustifolius (narrow-leaved blue lupine), 47 nucleotides long. Lineage: Eukaryota; Viridiplantae; Streptophyta; Magnoliopsida; Fabales; Fabaceae. The record is from Rfam.